GGGCAGGUUCCAGAGUGGUCAAAUGGGACGGGCUGUAAACCCGUUGGCGCAAGUCUUCGGAGGUUCGAAUCCUCCCCUGCCCA
Molecule: transfer RNA, 83 nt
Filed under: Acidobacteriota bacterium
Lineage: Bacteria; Pseudomonadati; Acidobacteriota
Also listed under: 2 other names
Description: Acidobacteria bacterium (groundwater metagenome) tRNA-Tyr
Rfam family: tRNA
About the family: Transfer RNA (tRNA) molecules are approximately 80 nucleotides in length. Their secondary structure includes four short double-helical elements and three loops (D, anti-codon, and T loops). Further hydrogen bonds mediate the characteristic L-shaped molecular structure. tRNAs have two regions of fundamental functional importance: the anti-codon, which is responsible for specific mRNA codon recognition, and the 3' end, to which the tRNAs corresponding amino acid is attached (by aminoacyl-tRNA synthetases). tRNAs cope with the degeneracy of the genetic code in two manners: having more than one tRNA (with a specific anti-codon) for a particular amino acid; and 'wobble' base-pairing, i.e. permitting non-standard base-pairing at the 3rd anti-codon position.
Source: RNAcentral